AUUAGCGGAUGACUUGUGGCUGGGGGUGAAAGGCCAAUCAAACCGGGAGAUAGCUGGUUCUCCCCGAAAGCUAUUUAGGUAGCGCCUCGUGAAUUCAUCUCCGGGGGUAGAGCACUGUUUCGGCAAGGGGGUCAUCCCGACUUACCAACCCGAUGCAAACUGCGAAUACCGGAGAAUGUUAUCACGGGAGACACACGGCGGGUGCUAACGUCCGUCGUGAAGAGGGAAACAACCCAGACCGCCAGCUAAGGUCCCAAAGUCAUGGUUAAGUGGGAAACGAUGUGGGAAGGCCCAGACAGCCAGGAUGUUGGCUUAGAAGCAGCCAUCAUUUAAAGAAAGCGUAAUAGCUCACUGGUCGAGUCGGCCUGCGCGGAAGAUGUAACGGGGCUAAACCAUGCACCGAAGCUGCGGCAGCGACACUAUGUGUUGUUGGGUAGGGGAGCGUUCUGUAAGCCUGUGAAGGUGGCCUGUGAGGGUUGCUGGAGGUAUCAGAAGUGCGAAUGCUGACAUAAGUAACGAUAAAGCGGGUGAAAAGCCCGCUCGCCGGAAGACCAAGGGUUCCUGUCCAACGUUAAUCGGGGCAGGGUGAGUCGACCCCUAAGGCGAGGCCGAAAGGCGUAGUCGAUGGGAAACAGGUUAAUAUUCCUGUACUUGGUGUUACUGCGAAGGGGGGACGGAGAAGGCUAUGUUGGCCGGGCGACGGUUGUCCCGGUUUAAGCGUGUAGGCUGGUUUUCCAGGCAAAUCCGGAAAACCAAGGCUGAGGCGUGAUGACGAGGCACUACGGUGCUGAAGCGACAAAUGCCCUGCUUCCAGGAAAAGCCUCUAAGCAUCAGGUAACAUCAAAUCGUACCCCAAACCGACACAGGUGGUCAGGUAGAGAAUACCAAGGCGCUUGAGAGAACUCGGGUGAAGGAACUAGGCAAAAUGGUGCCGUAACUUCGGGAGAAGGCACGCUGAUAUGUAGGUGAAGCGACUUGCUCGUGGAGCUGAAAUCAGUCGAAGAUACCAGCUGGCUGCAACUGUUUAUUAAAAACACAGCACUGUGCAAACACGAAAGUGGACGUAUACGGUGUGACGCCUGCCCGGUGCCGGAAGGUUAAUUGAUGGGGUUAGCGGUAACGCGAAGCUCUUGAUCGAAGCCCCGGUAAACGGCGGCCGUAACUAUAACGGUCCUAAGGUAGCGAAAUUCCUUGUCGGGUAAGUUCCGACCUGCACGAAUGGCGUAAUGAUGGCCAGGCUGUCUCCACCCGAGACUCAGUGAAAUUGAACUCGCUGUGAAGAUGCAGUGUACCCGCGGCAAGACGGAAAGACCCCGUGAACCUUUACUAUAGCUUGACACUGAACAUUGAGCCUUGAUGUGUAGGAUAGGUGGGAGGCUUUGAAGUGUGGACGCCAGUCUGCAUGGAGCCGACCUUGAAAUACCACCCUUUAAUGUUUGAUGUUCUAACGUUGGCCCGUAAUCCGGGUUGCGGACAGUGUCUGGUGGGUAGUUUGACUGGGGCGGUCUCCUCCUAAAGAGUAACGGAGGAGCACGAAGGUUGGCUAAUCCUGGUCGGACAUCAGGAGGUUAGUGCAAUGGCAUAAGCCAGCUUGACUGCGAGCGUGACGGCGCGAGCAGGUGCGAAAGCAGGUCAUAGUGAUCCGGUGGUUCUGAAUGGAAGGGCCAUCGCUCAACGGAUAAAAGGUACUCCGGGGAUAACAGGCUGAUACCGCCCAAGAGUUCAUAUCGACGGCGGUGUUUGGCACCUCGAUGUCGGCUCAUCACAUCCUGGGGCUGAAGUAGGUCCCAAGGGUAUGGCUGUUCGCCAUUUAAAGUGGUACGCGAGCUGGGUUUAGAACGUCGUGAGACAGUUCGGUCCCUAUCUGCCGUGGGCGCUGGAGAACUGAGGGGGGCUGCUCCUAGUACGAGAGGACCGGAGUGGACGCAUCACUGGUGUUCGGGUUGUCAUGCCAAUGGCACUGCCCGGUAGCUAAAUGCGGAAGAGAUAAGUGCUGAAAGCAUCUAAGCACGAAACUUGC
This 2020-nucleotide ribosomal RNA is filed under the name Escherichia coli. Its description in RNAcentral is "partial 23S ribosomal RNA". It matches the Rfam family "Bacterial large subunit ribosomal RNA", at positions 796 to 2797 of the family's 2925-position model. Lineage: Bacteria; Pseudomonadati; Pseudomonadota; Gammaproteobacteria; Enterobacterales; Enterobacteriaceae. The record is from RNAcentral.